RNAcentral lists this unclassified non-coding RNA (349 nucleotides) under Hevea brasiliensis (rubber tree). The record is from RNAcentral. Lineage: Eukaryota; Viridiplantae; Streptophyta; Magnoliopsida; Malpighiales; Euphorbiaceae.
AAAAUAAAAAAAAUAAAAAAAAAACUAGCAAUUUAAAAAAAAAAUUAUAGUAGUUGAAGAGCAAAGGAGAGAUGCAAUUGUAGACGAGAAGCCAUUGAAGUUGAAUUUCUUGUUGAAUGAUGUUAUGUCACUUAAGUGGAAGCCUUUAAGGGUUUUAUUAUAUAUACAUAAAAAAGGAGAAAUUGUCGUUGAGAGGAAGAAGGAGAAGAAGAAGGGAAGAAGUGGGCAUAGAAAGAAAUCAGCAUAGUAAAAGAAAGGAAUAAGUAUGAGAAAAAGAAGAAGAAGAAAGGAAUAAAAAAAAAAAAGUAAAGAUGAAGGAGGAGGGAAGAAAUUCAGUUCAAUGUAGAGG